CAAAGAACAGAGGCAAGCCUCCAGCCAGGAGCUCAUGAAAUCAUGAACUGAGGCCUCAGUGCAAUAGCUCAUGAGGAAAUGAAUUAUUUCAACAGCCAGGGUUGCUCUGAAGACUAAAGCCCUGGGAUCAUUCAUUUUAAAAGAAAAGAACGGUGACUCAUCAUUUCAAGCUUUUCAUUCUGGAAGUUGGAAGUACAAGAUCAGAUUGCCAGCAUCAUCAGGUACUCAUGAGGGCCGUCUUCCAGCUUGCAGACUGCCAACUUCUCAUUGUGUCCUCAGAUUUGAUAUCAAAGUAAUGUCAAGUGCUUCUGACCCACUGCAUUAAACGUGUGCUGAGCAGUUGGUGGUAGAAGACAUUAUUGUGAAGGCUGCUCACCACCAAUUUCAUCACUGUUGCUAACUCCAGCUCAUCUAAUCUCUGCAACAUCUGCUACCAGCACCUUCUCUUGCCUCCUUUUGUGAACAUAGUUUUUUCUUCUGGUUAGAAAAUCAGUUCGAACUUCUUGAGUUUUGUGUUUUAAACUCUUCUCAACUGUUCCGAUGAUUGAUGGAUGGCCCAGAGGCGACCUCUUUAUCUCCAGCAACAUAUUUGGCUGUUGGCCCGGUAGAGAGGUACUCCAGAAGCUUGCUGGUUCAUCAUGCUCUCAUCUUUAACCACAACUAUUUAUCUGACUCCUUCCAUCUCCACAGCACUGUGUGAGGGAUCAGUGAUAAGAGACGGUGAAAGACAUGCGCAAAUGGAUAAAUAAUAAGCAGGAUAUGUAGAAUGACACAACAAUUGAUGAGUAAUUUAGGAGAUCCAAUAACUAAAAAAAAAAAGACUGGGGACAAGUUCAUGGAAAGAGUAAUCAACUAAGCCUUAUAACAUAAAAUUGACAAAUAGAGAAGGCAUGCAAUCCAGUAGAAUAGAGUGCAAAAGAGGUAGAAGACUAAUCGUUUCAAGACAUGUUGAGCCACAACAGCAAUAACAUUGUGACAAAAAACGUCGGUGUAGACUGCAGAAGAUCUUCAAUGACGGAUCAAGCUGUAUAGACUUUUUUUUACCCUCAUAUACUGAAUAGUCAUUUAAGGUAUACAGUGCCAACGUAAGAGAGAAAGGUAAACUUUUUUUAACACAAGUUGUAGGCCUUGGAAAGAAGUUUUCCAGUAACAAGAUAACACGAUAAUGUACUGUGGUUAUAAGCUCAAAGUGGUAUAUUUGAUUCAGUGUUCCCAGAACCACCAAAACCUUGGAACCAUUGUUUAGCUAAAGCUACUAGAACAACAGAAUAACCUACUCUGUGGCAUUGUAAAGUAAAAUUAUACUACACACAAAUACUUGACAUAAAAUACAUUUCCAAACUCAAUUAUUAGGGAUAACAUAAGCACAAAAUGAUGCUUUGCAA
RNAcentral lists this long non-coding RNA (1385 nucleotides) under Homo sapiens (human). Its description in RNAcentral is "non-protein coding ISPD-AS1:6". Lineage: Eukaryota; Metazoa; Chordata; Mammalia; Primates; Hominidae. The record is from RNAcentral.